GGGUUGUGAGGUUAAGCGACUAAGCGUACACGGUGGAUGCCUAGGCAGUCAGAGGCGAUGAAGGGCGUGCUAAUCUGCGAAAAGCGUCGGUAAGCUGAUAUGAAGCGUUAUAACCGACGAUACCCGAAUGGGGAAACCCAGUGCAAUACGUUGCACUAUCGUUAGAUGAAUACAUAGUCUAACGAGGCGAACCGGGGGAACUGAAACAUCUAAGUACCCCGAGGAAAAGAAAUCAACCGAGAUUCCCCCAGUAGCGGCGAGCGAACGGGGAGGAGCCCAGAGUCUGAAUCAGUUUGUGUGUUAGUGGAAGCGUCUGGAAAGUCGCACGGUACAGGGUGAUAGUCCCGUACACCAAAAUGCACAGGCUGUGAACUCGAUGAGUAGGGCGGGACACGUGACAUCCUGUCUGAAUAUGGGGGGACCAUCCUCCAAGGCUAAAUACUCCUGACUGACCGAUAGUGAACCAGUACCGUGAGGGAAAGGCGAAAAGAACCCCGGCGAGGGGAGUGAAAUAGAACCUGAAACCGUGUACGUACAAGCAGUGGGAGCACCUUCGUGGUGUGACUGCGUACCUUUUGUAUAAUGGGUCAGCGACUUAUAUUUUGUAGCAAGGUUAACCGAAUAGGGGAGCCGUAGGGAAACCGAGUCUUAACUGGGCGUCUAGUUGCAAGGUAUAGACCCGAAACCCGGUGAUCUAGCCAUGGGCAGGUUGAAGGUUGGGUAACACUAACUGGAGGACCGAACCGACUAAUGUUGAAAAAUUAGCGGAUGACUUGUGGCUGGGGGUGAAAGGCCAAUCAAACCGGGAGAUAGCUGGUUCUCCCCGAAAGCUAUUUAGGUAGCGCCUCGUGAACUCAUCUUCGGGGGUAGAGCACUGUUUCGGCUAGGGGGCCAUCCCGGCUUACCAAACCGAUGCAAACUCCGAAUACCGAAGAAUGUUAUCACGGGAGACACACGGCGGGUGCUAACGUCCGUCGUGAAGAGGGAAACAACCCAGACCGCCAGCUAAGGUCCCAAAGUCAUGGUUAAGUGGGAAACGAUGUGGGAAGGCACAGACAGCCAGGAUGUUGGCUUAGAAGCAGCCAUCAUUUAAAGAAAGCGUAAUAGCUCACUGGUCGAGUCGGCCUGCGCGGAAGAUGUAACGGGGCUAAACCAUGCACCGAAGCUGCGGCAGCGACACUUAGGUGUUGUUGGGUAGGGGAGCGUUCUGUAAGCCGUUGAAGGUGACCUGUGAGGGUUGCUGGAGGUAUCAGAAGUGCGAAUGCUGACAUAAGUAACGAUAAUGCGGGUGAAAAACCCGCACGCCGGAAGACCAAGGGUUCCUGUCCAACGUUAAUCGGGGCAGGGUGAGUCGACCCCUAAGGCGAGGCUGAAAAGCGUAGUCGAUGGGAAACAGGUUAAUAUUCCUGUACUUGGUGUUACUGCGAAGGGGGGACGGAGAAGGCUAGGCUGGCCGGGCGACGGUUGUCCCGGUUUAAGCGUGUAGGGGGAGUGACCAGGUAAAUCCGGUUGCUUAUCAACCCUGAGGCGUGAUGACGAUGCACUACGGUGCAGAAGCAGUUGAUGCCAUGCUUCCAGGAAAAGCCUCUAAGCAUCAGGUAACAUUAAAUCGUACCCCAAACCGACACAGGUGGUCAGGUAGAGAAUACUCAGGCGCUUGAGAGAACUCGGGUGAAGGAACUAGGCAAAAUGGUGCCGUAACUUCGGGAGAAGGCACGCUGGCGUUAGGUGAAAGGACUUGCUCCUGGAGCUGAAGCCAGUCGCAGAUACCAGCUGGCUGCAACUGUUUAAUAAAAACACAGCACUGUGCAAACACGAAAGUGGACGUAUACGGUGUGACGCCUGCCCGGUGCUGGAAGGUUAAUUGAUGGGGUCAGCCGCAAGGCGAAGCUCUUGAUCGAAGCCCCAGUAAACGGCGGCCGUAACUAUAACGGUCCUAAGGUAGCGAAAUUCCUUGUCGGGUAAGUUCCGACCUGCACGAAUGGCGUAAUGAUGGCCAGGCUGUCUCCACCCGAGACUCAGUGAAAUUGAACUCGCUGUGAAGAUGCAGUGUACCCGCGGCAAGACGGAAAGACCCCGUGAACCUUUACUAUAGCUUGACACUGAACAUUGAGCUUUGAUGUGUAGGAUAGGUGGGAGGCCUUGAAGUGUGGACGCCAGUCUGCAUGGAGCCAACCUUGAAAUACCACCCUUUAAUGUUUGAUGUUCUAACUCGGCCCCAUAAUCUGGGGUGAGGACAGUGUCUGGUGGGUAGUUUGACUGGGGCGGUCUCCUCCCAAAGAGUAACGGAGGAGCACGAAGGUUAGCUAAUCACGGUCGGACAUCGUGAGGUUAGUGCAAAGGCAUAAGCUAGCUUGACUGCGAGAGUGACGGCUCGAGCAGGUACGAAAGUAGGUCUUAGUGAUCCGGUGGUUCUGAAUGGAAGGGCCAUCGCUCAACGGAUAAAAGGUACUCCGGGGAUAACAGGCUGAUACCGCCCAAGAGUUCAUAUCGACGGCGGUGUUUGGCACCUCGAUGUCGGCUCAUCACAUCCUGGGGCUGAAGUAGGUCCCAAGGGUAUGGCUGUUCGCCAUUUAAAGUGGUACGCGAGCUGGGUUUAGAACGUCGUGAGACAGUUCGGUCCCUAUCUGCCGUGGGCGUUGGAAGAUUGAGAGGGGCUGCUCCUAGUACGAGAGGACCGGAGUGGACGAAUCACUGGUGUUCGGGUUGUCAUGCCAAUGGCAUUGCCCGGUAGCUAAAUUCGGAAGAGAUAACCGCUGAAAGCAUCUAAGCGGGAAACUUGCCUCGAGAUGAGUCUUCCCUGGGGCUUAAAGCCCCCUGAAGGAACGUUAAAGACUAUGACGUUGAUAGGCUGGGUGUGUAAGUGCAGCGAUGUAUUGAGCUAACCAGUACUAAUGAUCCGUGAGGCUUAACCUUACAACACCAAAGGUGUUUUG
Molecule: ribosomal RNA, 2936 nt
Filed under: Yersinia similis
Lineage: Bacteria; Pseudomonadati; Pseudomonadota; Gammaproteobacteria; Enterobacterales; Yersiniaceae
Description: bacterial LSU rRNA
Rfam family: Bacterial large subunit ribosomal RNA
Source: RNAcentral